RNAcentral lists this ribosomal RNA (468 nucleotides) under uncultured bacterium. Its description in RNAcentral is "partial 16S ribosomal RNA". It matches the Rfam family "Bacterial small subunit ribosomal RNA", at positions 28 to 507 of the family's 1533-position model. The record is from RNAcentral.
GACGAACGCUGGCGGCGUGCUUAACACAUGCAAGUCGAACGGAAAGGCCCUGCUUUUGUGGGGUGCUCGAGUGGCGAACGGGUGAGUAACACGUGAGUAACCUGCCCUUGACUUUGGGAUAACUUCAGGAAACUGGGGCUAAUACCGGAUAGGAGCUCCUGCUGCAUGGUGGGGGUUGGAAAGUUUCGGCGGUUGGGGAUGGACUCGCGGCUUAUCAGCUUGUUGGUGGGGUAGUGGCUUACCAAGGCUUUGACGGGUAGCCGGCCUGAGAGGGUGACCGGCCACAUUGGGACUGAGAUACGGCCCAGACUCCUACGGGAGGGAGCAGUGGGGAAUAUUGCACAAUGGGCGGAAGCCUGAUGCAGCAACGCCGCGUGCGGGAUGACGGCCUUCGGGUUGUAAACCGCUUUCGCCUGUGACGAAGCGUUAGUGACGGUAAUGGGUAAAGAAGCACCGGCUAACUACGUG